CGCCCUUCCAGCCCCGCCCCCCGCCUCAACGUUCCAUUCCCCCGCGGUCCACGUGGCUGUCACUUCGGAAGCUACCGUCGAAACUGGAGAGGUUAGCCGGGGCCACCGGUUGGAGGGGGAAAGCACAAAUGCAGUCUCCCACUACCACAAAUUAUGCAGUCGAGUUUCCUGCAUUUGUGGAAAUCGCAGGGGUUAGCACUCCAGGAUUACAAUGGGGUGAGCCUCCCCCUGGGAAAAAAGACCUUGGUGAUCCUGGUAUCUCCCCUACCAGGCUCCUACCACUUCAAUCCCCUGUGCCCUCUGGAACAAUGUCUAGCUCAGAUGUUGGCAGCAGCAACCCACAAACCUUCACAGCACUGGGACCCAGGAGCCUUGGUUUUGAGGACAAAAGGUUUAUUGUCAACUGCCCGUUAUCUCCUACGAGAAUGUAAGCUCCAGAAGAAGAGAGAUGUUUGUCUGUUUUGUUUGCCGAUGAAUCCCAAGUGCCCAGAACCAUGCCUGGCACACAGUUCCUGCUCAAUAAAUAUUUUUUGAUGGAAUGGAGGAACCUCUUCACCCCUGGUGAAACAGCCUGCCUGCCAAGGAGACCAUGCCAUACCAGGACCACCCAGCAGAUGGCAGCCGAUGAACGCCAGAGACAGCUGGGAGCCUAUACUUUGAACUCAAGGUUCCUCCCAAUUAAUUCUAAGAUAACCCAGGAGACAAAAUCAAGUUCAACUUCCUCUUGUGUUCGUGAGAAAGAGCUUGUGUGUGGGAGGCGAGCUGCUAAAGCCUUUAUCUAAUGCAGUAGGCUGUUUACCCACAAUUCAGGGGCAAAAAAAUGAAAACAGCUGCUAAGGAGAACCAAGGUCAGAGUCUUCCCUCGGUGGGAAAAGGGGUGAAGAAGGCCGUCGGUCUCCUCCAGAGGAUGGAGAAGCGACAUCGGACCACUAUGACCGAGGAAAGAAGCCACACUAAGGACGAACACAUCGCCUGGGGGUGGGCGUUUCCGGUCUUCCGCUGAACACGCCAGAAGAUGCUCUGCAACACGGGUCUCUGGGCCCUGCCAGACCCCCCCCCUCCCCCGGCUCCAGUGCUUCUGGAACCCAUGCACGCAGGAUAUCGAGUUGCAGCUGUACCAAACCCUUCGCCCCAAGGCCAGGGAACCCGCCUUAGAUCAAAUUCGGCAUUCGAGGGCGUCAGGUUAGGGGCAACCUUUCCCCCCUAAUGUAACUUUUAAUGUAACCCUCCUCCCUCCUUUAUUCUCACCGAACCGUGACCUCCUGGUUCAUAGGUCGAUGCUCAACCACUGAGCCACACCGGUGGGGCUGAACCAAAGCUCUUUACACACAUGCACCCAGCAACUAGGGUGCUUCACACACAACAUGUACACACAUACACACAUAGACACACACACCAAGAAUUUUCAUCCCCCUAGCAACCAAAGAGCUUUACACACACACACACACACACACACACCAAAGCACUUCAUGUACACAUUCCAACAACCAAAGAGUUCACACACCCACUCACACAUCCCCAACAACCAAAGCACUUCACACACAUACACCCCAAAAAGCUUUCCUCCCCCAACCAAGGUGCUUCCUACACUCCCCCACAGACCCCACCAACAGAAGAAAACCCCAAAGCACUUGGGUAGUUUGCCGCAGCAGCAGGUACUUGAACACUAAUACAUUCGACUGCGACUUUCUUUACAGAUUAAUGAGCAGAGAAAGAUGAGGGGGGGGGGGUGGUAGAAUGGCGGGAGAGAGCAAUUACACCCAAAUCUUUUCUCUGUUGAUUAGGGAUUCCUUCUCCAGCCUGCUUUGGCUCCUGCUAAAUCUUUUUCUAAUGAGAUGUGGCUUAUCCAGAUCAGAGCGCGGAGAAAAAAAGUUGCAAUUAACUUUAAG
Myotis brandtii (Brandt's bat) is the source of this 1889-nucleotide long non-coding RNA. RefSeq lists it as uncharacterized. The transcript is spliced from 4 exons. Lineage: Eukaryota; Metazoa; Chordata; Mammalia; Chiroptera; Vespertilionidae. The record is from RefSeq and is a predicted model, not a curated record.